This 6339-nucleotide long non-coding RNA is filed under the name Olea europaea subsp. europaea. Lineage: Eukaryota; Viridiplantae; Streptophyta; Magnoliopsida; Lamiales; Oleaceae. The record is from RNAcentral.
AGAAAAGUCAUAGAUACCAUAUUAUUCCAUUUCAAUUUACAAAUUGGUUUUGCAUAAAACAUUUGCAUCAAAGUCAUGGUUAUGAUCAUGGUAGAGAGGGAAUUCCGUUCGAGUUCGCUGAUCGAAGUCAUUUGGAGUGCUCCUAUGACUCAACGUGGUCAUUUGUAUCUUGGGAGAUGAUUACCGGAUAACCGUUAGCACCGAUGCGAGGCAAAUUCAUCUUAAGGACAAAGUGUCCAACACUUGCCUCGACCAAAAAUCCGUCAUUUGCAUCUUUUUUUUUUUCAUUUUCUGAUUCCUUUUAUUAUAAUUUGAUUUCAGAAAAUGAUUAACAUUAUUUAUAUGUUUAUCCUGCAAGGUUUGAUCCAAAGAAUUACUUGUUUUCGAUCAUGAGUUGAAAGGGAAGAAUCCAUAUUCAAGUAUUCGGAUUCAAUAAAUUCUUAUUUUGUCUUCUUAAAUCCAAGUUGGAAUACGUUUCGAUUUCAUGCAAAUAAACGAUAUGUUUAUUGUGAAUAAAAUAUGCACAAUUAUCAGUGUAAUUUUCCAACAAUCUUAAGAUGAAUUUUAAGUGGUUUUAUUGUGCAUUUAUAUUCUUAAUUUCGACAAAUAUAUCACGUGCAUUUUCUGCAAAUUGUUUUGCAUGGAAAUAGUUCAUUUGAAGUGGAAACUGUGUGUCAGUAUGCACGUGUAAAUUGUUAUUAUGCUUCUAUGAGAAUUGGCACUUAAGUGGAGAGUCAGAAUCCAUGUUUGUGCAUAAUUGUUACAAUUAACAUUGGUUAAUGAAAAUUGGAACAAAGGCAUGAAUUGAUCCUAUUGGUUAUUGAACAAGUGCAUGCGGCAAUUCCAUUAAAUAACUUUUAAUGUUAUGCGCAAUUUAAAAUGCAAUUAUGGUGGCCAAGAAUAUACAAUUAAAUGCAUACGUUUCAGUAAUUUGAAAACGUGACCCAUCAAAAUUUAAGGCAGAAAAUAAUAACAUCAUUUGGUUCAUUCGGUGCCUUUUCAAUUCAUUGAUAGUCACUUUUAUGUUGAAUUGGCAUGCACAAUAUUGGAUGAAAUAAUAUGGUUGAAUGGGUGUUUUAUUCUUCUUUGAAAGGUUGGGCUUUCAAUUAAUACCAUUCCAAUUAACUGUGGAUGUGAACCAUACAAAUAUGAUAUUCUUUAUUUGUCUAUUAUUGCAUGAGAAAAUGCCAGAAUUCAGUUAUAAAAUCUAUUCACGUGUUCCGGUAGUACACUGCCUUAUAUAUUCUGUUUAUCUAAAAUCAGAAUAAAUUACAUAAACGUGACAUGUUAUAAGGACUGCCUUAACUGUCAAUGAAAUUAAAAGAACUCUUCCUUCUUCCAUGAUGAGAUAGGCACAAACUGAUGUUUUACAUCCUAAAACCAUAACAUGCAUCCAAUAAUUUGUUGAAAAUCGGGAUUGAGUAUUGCGUAGAUAAUGAAUCCCUUACAUGGUAAAUUGAUGAUAAUCAAUGAAAAGCUACCUGCCUAAUAAAGAAUUGGUUUAUGUUGAAUGGUGCACAUGAAUGAGAGGAAGAGGUGUGUUCCUUUGGCAGGAAAUAUUGAAUUAGAUCUGAUUAUUAUUUUUUGGAUAAGGGAUCUGAUCAUUAUUUCUUGUAAUGGAAAAAAAAUUACAUGGAUCAGUGAGUAUAUCUUUAACUGUUUAAAUUAAUUGAUAGUUAAGGUUAAUUAUAGUUUUGAAUGAAAGUGCACACCCUUUCAUUUUGGUAAGUUACGAGAGUUAGCGGAAUAUAAAGAAGAAAAUCGUUUUGCUUCGAUCCAUGGCUAUGAAAGGGCAUGAAUUUGGUGACUUUUCAUUCUAGUAUGAAUUGUCUGAAUUUUCUAUUUACUGAUAACACCUGAAAUUUCAUGGGAUUUAAAUGCACGAUUAAAUUCUGCAUAAAAAUAUUAUUUCAUAAGAUUGUGCAUGAAAUGAUGUGAAAUGACAUAUACGAUAAGCUGGCAAGCUGCCAAAUACGGUAAGCUGUCAUAUAUGGUAGGCUGUCAAAUACGAUAAGUUGGUGAGCUACCAAAUACAGUAAGUUGCUGAAUACAGUAAGUCGUAUAUAUGGUAAGCGACAUAUACGAUAAGUUGCAUGUACAGUAUGCGUCAAUCCGGUAAGUGACAUAUACGGUAUGAAGUUGUAAAUUCGAUAUAUGUCCAUGAAUUUUGGUUUGAAAAUUAUACAAACAUUGAUUAAUGAUGAUAGCCUCGAUUAAUUCCAUGAAAUUAAAUGAGAUGAUUUAUGCAAAAUCAUAGUUGCAUAAGAGUAUAACAAAAUGUGAUUUUGUCCUAAUUAUUUUAAAGUGAAAAUUGCUUGCCCAAUUAUUGGAAUGUGAAAAUAUUUUAUAAAGCACAAAUAGUGUCUAUAGUUGACGGUGGUGUCGGAUAUCCUUGAAAAUAAUGAUUGUAAAAUGACAUUCAUUUGUAAAGGAUAAAAACGAUGCAAAAAAUUGUGAAGAAUAUUAUAAAAUAUUAUAGGAUUAAUUUCAAGAGGUAUUCCAUUUUGUAAGGUUGUGACUUUGAAAGUACAACUUGUCAAUCUAUGAUUGAUUUAUUCUUUCAAAUAUGAAUAUGGAGAAUAAAGUGAGAAUAUGCCUUAUUAUUGGACGUGAAUAACAUUAUUUGUGAAAUGUCAUAAAUGUGAAAGUUGCACAUGUCUGAAGAUGCUUCAAUCGUAGAACCAAUUAAAUUGGUAUAUGUUUUGAAAGCAUUAUUGGUCUAUGUGAUGAUCUUGAUUUAAUUAAUAAGUUGACUAAAUUACAAUUUUGAAUGGAAAAUGCUUACCAUUUGUAUAAGUUGACGACCACUAGAGCAUUCGAUAUGGAUAAAUAUAUUGAACUAUGAAAGAGUCGAUAAACUCUAAAUUCAAGAAUAAACAAAAAAAUGUGGGGGUUAUCAUAAAUAUUGGUGAACUUAUGUGAAAAGUUCAAGACGUGUGAGUGCAAUACUACUACUUGCACAUAUAUCCCUAAUUUAAGAAUUGUGGGGGUAACUGAGUUUAAAAUUACACUUUCUGUACCUCUCAAGAAAAUCGAAGAGACACCAUAUGAGUUAUGGAAAUAUCAUCUUCCUUCCUACCAUCACUUAAAAGUGUCGAGAUGUUUGGAAAAGGUUGAGGUUCUUAAGCCCAAAGAAAUAAAGAUUGGUCCCAAAAUGAUUGAUUGCAUAUUUAUUGGACAUGCCAAUAAUAGUAGUGCAUAUCGUUUCCUCGUACACAAAUCGGAUGUAUAUGAGGGUACCAUAAUUGAGUCAAGGAAUGUGAUAUUCUUUGAGAAUGUGUUUCCUUGCAAAGAUAAGGAAAAUGUAAGUUUGAAUAACAUAACAUAUGAAACUACAAAUGGAUCUUCAAAUGAGGAUAAACCAAGGCGUAGUAAGAGGGCCAGAAUGUCCACUUCGUUUGGUCUGAAUUUUCUCACAUAUAUGAUAAAAAAUGACCCAAAAGACUUAUGAAGAAGCAAUGUUUAUUCCAAGAGCACCGCAUUGGAAGGAAACUAUCAAUAGUGAGAUAGAUUCCAGAAUGCAAAUUCAUACAUGGGAAUUGGUAGAUAUACUUCCCAGAAAUAAGCCUUUAUGGUGUAAACGGAUUAAAACCUGAUGAUCCAUUGACAAAUGUAAGGCUAGAUUGGUUGUCAAAGGAUAUAGGCAGGAAGAUGGAUUUGACUUCUUUUCCUACUCACCUGUGACCAGAAUCACUUUGAUAAUGUUACUAAUUGCAAUUACGGCAAUAUAUAACCUUGAGAUUCACCAAAUGGAUGUGAAAACGGGAUUUCUAAACGGUGAGUUAGAAGAAGAGAUAUAUAUAGAGCAACCUAAAGGUGUCUCCAAGUGAAAGUCACGGAGUUUGUAAACUCGUUGAGUCCUUUUAUGGACUGAAACAAGCUCCUGACACCAAAAGUUUGACAAAACGAUAUUGUCAAAUGAGUUCAAAAUAAAUGAAUGUGACAAGUGUGUAUGCAUGGAAAAUACACCAAAUGCCUAUGUGUUUGUAUGUAGUCAAUAUGUUGAUGAUGGACAAUAGUCAUGAAGUGGUGCUAAACGUCAAGAAAAUGCUUAUGAAGCAUUACAACAUGAAAGACUUGGGUGUGGCAGAUGCAAUACGAGAGAUAAAAAUCUCUAGAACAUCGGAAGAAAUUGUACUUUCCUAAUCUCAUUUGUCGAGAAAAUAUUUAAAAAAUUUGAAGUAUUGACACAAGUCUACACUUGGUCAAAAUAAGGGCGAAAGCGUGUCACAACUGAGAUAUUUACAAGUAAUUAGCAAUCUAAUGUAUAUUACGAAAUGCACUCGACUGGAUAAUGCUUUUGCUGUGAAUAAACUUGAAGAUUCAGGAGUAAUUCAGGUCAUGAUUAUUGGGUGGCAUUGACAGGGGUCCUUAGGUAUUUGAAAUAUACCAUGACCCGUGGAUUACAUUUCACAAUAUAUCCUGCGGUAUUGAAAGGAUAUUGUGAUGCGAUGAUAUACACUAAGUCUAAAGUGGAUGAAAUGGGAUGAAAGCCCUAAAGUGGAUUAAAUGGGAUGAAAGCCGAUCAUGACGGUUGUUUGGAUAUACACGAACAAUUGGAAUAUUUGAGAAUAUUCCUAAAGUUCGAAUGUAUUGCAAUGCUUUAAUGAUGAUAUUGAAUAUCCAUGUAUGAAAUCCACUAAUAAAUAUGAUUGACUAGUGUAACGGUUUGUUAGAAAUCCUCCAUCAUUGUUGUUUGGAAUUGAUAAAGCUUUAGAUAAAACUAAUGAGAAGCAUGUAGUUUCAUGAUAGGAUUUCUUAGUUGGUGACAAUGUGUAUCUAUCAAAUGAAUUGAUCAUUGGCUAGCUAAAUUUGAAAAGAUACUAAGUUACAUAUAAUGAUAAGUCUAGACAUGUAUGUCGUAGACAUAAUACCAUAAGCAGUUGAUCUUAUUGUUGUAAACUUGUGGAUCCAUUUAUAGAUGUUUACUAAAAGAUCAAGUAUAGUGCAUAUCGAAGGGAAUGAGAUUAAGCCUACUGAGUAAGGGUCCUUAUGAUGGUAACCCUACUAUGUUGACUGGAGAUCCCAAGAUCUUGGUUCAAAGGGACAACUAAGUUAUGGGGAUUCUAUGAAGCACUUAGGAAACUAAUUUCCUAACUCAUUCCUAUGAUACCAAAGUGCUUUCUGCAGAGUGAUUGGAUGUUAAGAUAAACUUUUAACGAUUCCUAUAUCUUGAAUAAGUCAAGUGGAGUAUGACAGAAUACUCUUAAUAGGAGAUCACCUAUGUAAGUGUGCAGUGGGGCCGCUUCAAUGAGAAUUAUUCAAGACUUGAAUUCUUUAAACACUUACAGAACCAAGAUGGGUUCAGGGCCAAAAUGAACCAAAUCAUGAGAACCAUGAACGGUUUAUGGAAGACAUUGUGUGAGUACUGUUGUCUUGGUUUAUACUAACGGCAGAUGGUUCAAGAACAUCGCGUUCACCAAUUAGCUAGUAAAUCCGAUGGUAUUUUACUAAAGAAGGUUCAAAGCCAAAAACUACCUUACCUGAUGCAGUGUUUUCCCGCCCUCUCUCUACUAGUGUCUGCAUAGACAUUUGCAUUAAUUUUCAUUCACGUGGGGGAUUGUUGGAAUUUUGUAUGUAAAAUUGGUUUACAUAAUUAUUUAAGUGAAAUUCUUAAUUUGGUGAAUGAGAAAUUAAGCCAAAUAUAAAGUUGCUUAAUACUUGAAAUUAUUGAAAAAUCGUAUAGAAUAUUGUGAAAUAUUCUAGAAAUAUGUGGGUGAAAAGUGUGUCUUUUCAUGUGAAAAAUCAUGACUCUUGGUAUGGGUAUGAUUAAUUUCCAAUAAUCGUGUCUCUUGAUGUAUAGAAAUAUAUUUCAAGAGAUGUGACUCUUGAUAUGAUUGUGUCUUUUGACAUACAUUUCCAACUACUAUAAAUAGACUCCAUAUGUUUGAAUUUUAUCAUUCAAGAAAAGUCAUAGAUACUACAUCAUUCCAUUUCAAUUUACAAUUUGGUUUUGCAUAAAAUAUUUGCCUCGAAGUCAUGGUGAUGGUCAUGGUCAUGGUAGAGAGGGAAUUUCGUUCGAGUUCGCUGGUCGAAGUCAUUUGAAGUGCUCCUAUGACUCGACGUGGUUAUUGUAUCUUGGGAGAUGAUUACUGGAUAACCGUUACCACCGAUGCGGGGCAAAUUCAUCUUAAGGACAAAGUGUCCAACACUUGCCUCGGCCAAAAAUCCGUCAUUUGCAUCUUCUUUCUUCAUUUUCUGAUUCCUUUUAUUAUAAUUUGAUUUCAGAAAAUGAUUAACGUUAUUUAUAUGUUUAUCCUACAAGGUUUGAUCCAAAGAAUUACUUGCUUUCGAUCAUGAGUUGAAAGGGAAGAAUCCAUAUUCAGGUAUUCGGAUUUG